CGCAUAGUCUUCGAUGACGGCAUCAGAUUUGAAGUAAAGAUUUAUCGGUAAUGGAUGGGGAUGCGUCUGAUUAGCUUGUUGGCGGGGUAACGGCCCACCAAGGCAACGAUCAGUAGGGGUUCUGAGAGGAAGGUCCCCCACAUUGGAACUGAGACACGGUCCAAACUCCUACGGGAGGCAGCAGUGAGGAAUAUUGGUCAAUGGACGAGAGUCUGAACCAGCCAAGUAGCGUGCAGGAUGACGGCCCUAUGGGUUGUAAACUGCUUUUGUAUGGGGAUAAAGUCAAUCACGUGUGAUUGUUUGCAGGUACCAUACGAAUAAGGACCGGCUAAUUCCGUGCCAGCAGCCGCGGUAAUACGGAAGGUCCGGGCGUUAUCCGGAUUUAUUGGGUUUAAAGGGAGCGUAGGCCGGAGAUUAAGUGUGUUGUGAAAUGUAGACGCUCAACGUCUGACUUGCAGCGCAUACUGGUUUCCUUGAGUACGCACAACGUUGGCGGAAUUCGUCGUGUAGCGGUGAAAUGCUUAGAUAUGACGNAGAACUCCGAUUGNGAAGGCAGCUGACGGGAGCGCAACUGACGCUUAAGCNCGAAGGUGCGGGUAUCGAACAGG
Molecule: ribosomal RNA, 608 nt
Filed under: Prevotella melaninogenica
Lineage: Bacteria; Pseudomonadati; Bacteroidota; Bacteroidia; Bacteroidales; Prevotellaceae
Description: bacterial SSU rRNA
Rfam family: Bacterial small subunit ribosomal RNA
Source: RNAcentral